Molecule: ribosomal RNA, 358 nt
Filed under: Protonemura talboti
Lineage: Eukaryota; Metazoa; Arthropoda; Insecta; Plecoptera; Nemouridae
Description: partial 12S ribosomal RNA
Source: RNAcentral
UUUAAAUGUAAAUUGCGAAAACUUGAGUAGUAAUAGUUAUGUUCUUGAAACUCAAAGAAUUUGGCGGUGUUUUAGUCUGUUCAGAGGAACCUGUCCCGUAAUCGAUAUUCCACGUUAAACCUUACUUAUUUUUGUUAUCAGCUUGUAUACCGCCGUCGUCAGAAUGUCCUAAGAAGGGUUUAAUUUUCUUAAAUUUUUAUUAAAAAUGAUGUCAGGUCAAGGUGUAGCUUACGAAUAAGUGGUGAUGGGUUACAAUAAAUGUAUUUAUAACGGAUAAAGUUUUGAAAUAAAUUUUUGAAGGUGGAUUUGACGGUAAAUAACUUAAUUAAAUUAAUUUGAUUUUAGCUCUAAAACAUGC